Molecule: ribosomal RNA, 497 nt
Filed under: uncultured bacterium
Lineage: Bacteria
Description: partial 16S ribosomal RNA
Rfam family: Bacterial small subunit ribosomal RNA
Source: RNAcentral
GAUGAACGCUGGCGGCGUGCCUAAUACAUGCAAGUCGAGCGAACAGACGAGGAGCUUGCUCCUCUGACGUUAGCGGCGGACGGGUGAGUAACACGUGGAUAACCUACCUAUAAGACUGGGAUAACUUCGGGAAACCGGAGCUAAUACCGGAUAAUAUAUUGAACCGCAUGGUUCAAUAGUGAAAGACGGUUUUGCUGUCACUUAUAGAUUGAUCCGCGCCGCAUUAGCUAGUUGGUAAGGUAACGGCUUACCAAGGCAACGAUGCGUAGCCGACCUGAGAGGGUGAUCGGCCACACUGGAACUGAGACACGGUCCAGACUCCUACGGGAGGCAGCAGUAGGGAAUCUUCCGCAAUGGGCGAAAGCCUGACGGAGCAAAGCCGCGUGAGUGAUGAAGGUCUUCGGAUCGUAAAACUCUGUUAUUAGGGAAGAACAAAUGUGUAAGUAACUAUGCACGUCUUGACGGUACCUAAUCAGAAAGCCACGGCUAACUACGUG